Non-coding RNA from Phrynosoma platyrhinos (Desert horned lizard), 72 nucleotides. Lineage: Eukaryota; Metazoa; Chordata; Lepidosauria; Squamata; Phrynosomatidae. The record is from the annotation of a GenBank genome assembly.
GGCAGUGUGGUGUAGUGGUUUGAGUGUUCGACUAUGAUGCUGGAGACCAGGAUUCGAAUCCCGGCUCAGCCA